This 305-nucleotide ribosomal RNA is filed under the name uncultured bacterium. RNAcentral describes it as "partial 16S ribosomal RNA". It matches the Rfam family "Bacterial small subunit ribosomal RNA", at positions 333 to 655 of the family's 1533-position model. The record is from RNAcentral.
CUGUGCCUACGGGGGGCAGCAGUGGGGGAUAUUGCACAAUGGGGGGAACCCUGGUGCAGCGACGCCGCGUGGGUGAAGAAGCGCCUCGGCGCGUAAAGCCCUGUCAGCAGGGAAGAAAAUAACGGUACCUGAAGAAGAAGCCCCGGCUAACUACGUGCCAGCAGCCGCGGUAACACGUAGGGGGCAAGCGUCAUCCGGAUUUACUGGGUGUAAAGGGGGCGCAGACGGCGAUGCAAGCCAGGAGUGAAAGCCCGGGGCCCAACCCCGGGACGGCUCUUGGAACUGCGUGGCUGGAGUGCAGGAGG